UAUUGGACAAUGGGCGCAAGCCUGAUCCAGCAAUACCGCGUGUGUGAAGAAGGCCUUAGGGUUGUAAAGCACUUUCAAUUGGGAGGAAAACCUGCCGGUCAAUACCCGGUAGCUUGACAUUACCUUUAGAAGAAGCACCGGCUAACUCCGUGCCAGCAGCCGCGGUAAUACGGAGGGUGCGAGCGUUAAUCGGAAUUACUGGGCGUAAAGCGUGCGUAGGCGGUUCGUUAAGUCAGAUGUGAAAGCCCUGGGCUCAACCUGGGAACGGCAUUUGAAACUGGCGGACUAGAGUUUAGUAGAGGGGAGUGGAAUUUCAGGUGUAGCGGUGAAAUGCGUAGAUAUCUGAAGGAACACCAGUGGCGAAGGCGACUCCCUGGACUAGAACUGACGCUGAGACGAAA
RNAcentral lists this ribosomal RNA (401 nucleotides) under uncultured bacterium. RNAcentral's name for it is "bacterial SSU rRNA". It matches the Rfam family "Bacterial small subunit ribosomal RNA", at positions 362 to 758 of the family's 1533-position model. The record is from RNAcentral.